RNAcentral lists this transfer RNA (75 nucleotides) under Gammaproteobacteria bacterium. RNAcentral's name for it is "tRNA-Asp". It matches the Rfam family "tRNA". Rfam says of the family: Transfer RNA (tRNA) molecules are approximately 80 nucleotides in length. Their secondary structure includes four short double-helical elements and three loops (D, anti-codon, and T loops). Further hydrogen bonds mediate the characteristic L-shaped molecular structure. tRNAs have two regions of fundamental functional importance: the anti-codon, which is responsible for specific mRNA codon recognition, and the 3' end, to which the tRNAs corresponding amino acid is attached (by aminoacyl-tRNA synthetases). tRNAs cope with the degeneracy of the genetic code in two manners: having more than one tRNA (with a specific anti-codon) for a particular amino acid; and 'wobble' base-pairing, i.e. permitting non-standard base-pairing at the 3rd anti-codon position. Lineage: Bacteria; Pseudomonadati; Pseudomonadota; Gammaproteobacteria. The record is from RNAcentral.
GGGAUGGUGGCAGAAUGACCAUGCACUUGAUUGUCGAUCAAGAGGACGCGGGUUUGAUUCCCGUCCAUCCCGCCA